This 664-nucleotide ribosomal RNA is filed under the name Clostridioides difficile. RNAcentral describes it as "partial 23S ribosomal RNA". It matches the Rfam family "Bacterial large subunit ribosomal RNA", at positions 698 to 1370 of the family's 2925-position model. Lineage: Bacteria; Bacillati; Bacillota; Clostridia; Peptostreptococcales; Peptostreptococcaceae. The record is from RNAcentral.
AGUUACUUGACGUAGACCCGAAACCGGGCGACCUACCCAUGAGCAGGAUGAAGCGAAAGUAAAAUUUCGUGGAGGUCCGAACCCACGAGCGUUGAAAAGCUCGGGGAUGACUUGUGGGUAGCGGUGAAAUUCCAAUCGAGCCCGGAGAUAGCUGGUUCUCCCCGAAAUAGCUUUAGGGCUAGCCUCAAGGUGAGAGAUACGGAGGUAGAGCACUGAAUGUCCUAGGGGGUAUUGCACCUACCGAAGACUAUCAAACUCCGAAUGCCGUCAUCUUAUACUUGGGAGUCAGACUGUGGGUGAUAAGAUUCAUAGUCGAAAGGGCAACAGCCCAGAUCGUCAGCUAAGGUCCCUAAAUGUAAGUUAAGUGGUAAAGGAUGUGGGAUUGCACAGACAACCAGGAUGUUGGCUUAGAAGCAGCCACUCAUUCAAAGAGUGCGUAAUAGCUCACUGGUCGAGUGAUCCUGCGCCGAAGAUUUCCGGGGCUAAAACUUACUACCGAAGCUACGGCAUCAGUAAUGAUGGGUAGGGGAGCUUCCCAUACGGGUUGAAGCAUGACCGUAAGGACAUGUGGACAGUAUGGGAGUGAGAAUGUUGGCAUGAGUAGCGAGAUGUGGGUGAGAAUCCCACAGGCCGUAAACCCAAGGUUUCCAGGGGAAGGUUCGUC